This 256-nucleotide ribosomal RNA is filed under the name uncultured bacterium. RNAcentral describes it as "partial 16S ribosomal RNA". It matches the Rfam family "Bacterial small subunit ribosomal RNA", at positions 524 to 776 of the family's 1533-position model. The record is from RNAcentral.
UACGAAGGGGGCUAGCGUUGCUCGGAAUCACUGGGCGUAAAGCGCACGUAGGCGGCUUCUUAAGUCAGGGGUGAAAUCCUGGAGCUCAACUCCAGACGUCGUGCCUUUGAUACUGAGGAGCUUGAGUCCGGGAGAGGUGAGUGGAACUGCGAGUGUAGAGGUGAAAUUCGUAGAUAUUCGCAAGAACACCAGUGGCGAAGGCGGCUCACUGGCCCGGUACUGACGCUGAGGUGCGAAAGCGUGGGGAGCAAACAGG